This 19-nucleotide ribosomal RNA is filed under the name Boeremia noackiana. RNAcentral's name for it is "partial 28S ribosomal RNA". Lineage: Eukaryota; Fungi; Ascomycota; Dothideomycetes; Pleosporales; Didymellaceae. The record is from RNAcentral.
UGACCUCGAUCAGGUAGGG